RNAcentral lists this ribosomal RNA (496 nucleotides) under uncultured bacterium. RNAcentral's name for it is "partial 16S ribosomal RNA". It matches the Rfam family "Bacterial small subunit ribosomal RNA", at positions 29 to 507 of the family's 1533-position model. The record is from RNAcentral.
AUGAACGCUGGCGGCGUGCCUAAUACCUGCAAGUCGCGCGAACGGACGAGAAGCUUGCUUCUCUGAUGUUAGCGGCGGACGGGUGAGUAACACGUGGAUAACCUACCUAUAAGACUGGGAUAACUUCGGGAAACCGGAGCUAAUACCGGAUAAUAUUUUGAACCGCAUGGUUCCAAAGUGAAAGACGGUCUUGCUGUCACUUAUAGAUGGAUCCGCGCUGCAUUAGCUAGUUGGUAAGGUAACGGCUUACCAAGGCAACGAUGCAUAGCCGACCUGAGAGGGUGAUCGGCCACACUGGAACUGAGACACGGUCCAGACUCCUACGGGAGGCAGCAGUAGGGAAUCUUCCGCAAUGGGCGAAAGCCUGACGGAGCAACGCCGCGUGAGUGAUGAAGGUCUUCGGAUCGUAAAACUCUGUUAUUAGGGAAGAACAUAUGUGUAAGUAACUGUGCACAUCUUGACGGUACCUAAUCAGAAAGCCACGGCUAACUACGUG